AACCGGAUUAGAUACCCUGUAGUCCCACGCCAUAAAACGAUGUCGACUUGGAGGUUGUUCCCUGAGGGAGUGGCUUCCGGAGCUAACGCGUCAAGUCGAGCCGCCUGUGGAGUACGGCCGCAAGGUUAAAACUCAAAUGAAUUGACGGGGGCCCGCACAAGCGGUGGAGCAUGUGGUUUAAUUCGAUGCAACGCGAAGAACCUUACCUACCCUUGACAUCCAGCGAACUUAGCAGAGAUGCUUUGGUGCCUUCGGGAACGUGAGACAGGUGCUGCAUGGCUGUCGUCAGCUCGUGUUGUGAAAUGUUGGGUUAAGUCCCGCAACGAGCGCAACCCUUAUCCUUUGUUGCCAGCGAUUCGGUCGGGAACUCAAAGGAGACUGCCGGUGAUAAACCGGAGGAAGGUGGGGAUGACGUCAAGUCAUCAUGGCCCUUACGAGUAGGACUACACACGUGCUACAAUGGCGCAUACAAAGAGAAGCGACCUCGCGAGAGCAAGCGGACCUCACAAAGUGCGUCGUAGUCCGGAUCGGAGU
RNAcentral lists this ribosomal RNA (534 nucleotides) under uncultured Pantoea sp. RNAcentral describes it as "bacterial SSU rRNA". It matches the Rfam family "Bacterial small subunit ribosomal RNA", at positions 771 to 1304 of the family's 1533-position model. The record is from RNAcentral. Lineage: Bacteria; Pseudomonadati; Pseudomonadota; Gammaproteobacteria; Enterobacterales; Erwiniaceae.